Andrographis paniculata is the source of this 663-nucleotide long non-coding RNA. RefSeq lists it as uncharacterized. The record is from RefSeq and is a predicted model, not a curated record. The transcript has 3 exons. Lineage: Eukaryota; Viridiplantae; Streptophyta; Magnoliopsida; Lamiales; Acanthaceae.
UCAAAACAAAAAUGAUAAAUAUCAAAUUAUGUAGAAACAACAGUAUGAUUAUUAAUUUAACUGAAUCGAGGUAGCUAGGUAUACUUACAGUACAGAGUUGCAGUCAAGAAGACGACGACGACGGAGAAGAAGGAUACGACGUCGUUGAAGAAGGCGAGACCAGACGAGGGAGGAGUUGAGUUUGCAGUUUAAUAAGGAACGCCGGGAGUGAUCGGACGGUCGAUAUUUGAUGGAACAAACCGAUGGUUUUGGAGGCCGGGGUAGACAUCGUCCGGAUCGUGGAUUUGGGGAUUUCGCUCGACGAUGAAGGGGUCGCCGCACUUGUCGCUGAUGGUGUGGAGAGUUUCGCCUUCCGAAACGACGUAGAUGUCGCUGCAGACGUGCGCCGCAUAGCUGCUGAGGAGGAGGAGGGCCAUGGCCAUGGCUACUGCAGCUGAAACAAGCAUUGGCCUGGAAGUGAUAGGAGAAGCCAUUUUUAUUACUUGGUAGUGUCUAGUUGUUGUUCAGUUUUUAUUAUGAGUUAGGUUCUUGUCAUGCAGUUCUUGGAGCGGGACACGAUGUGGUUUUUUUGGAGUCAGCUGCCAGUAAGAAGUGGGCUACUAUUUUGUUUUGUGGGUCCAUUGGUUGUUUAUAGAACAAGAACAAGAACGAGGAAAUAGUUGG